Molecule: ribosomal RNA, 246 nt
Filed under: uncultured bacterium
Lineage: Bacteria
Description: partial 16S ribosomal RNA
Rfam family: Bacterial small subunit ribosomal RNA
Source: RNAcentral
AUACGUAGGGGGCGAGCGUUAUCCGGAAUUAUUGGGCGUAAAGGGUGCGUAGGCGGUUUUUUAAGCGCGGGGUGAAAGGCAAUAGCUUAACUAUUGUUAGCCCUGCGAACUGGGAGACUUGAGUGCAGGAGAGGAAAGCGGAAUUCCUUGUGUAGCGGUGAAAUGCGUAGAUAUUAGGAGGAACACCAGUGGCGAAGGCGGCUUUCUGGACUGUAACUGACGCUGAUGCACGAAAGUGUGGGGAGC